GUCGAAACACCGACUCUCGUACGAUAACCAAAGUUCAGCAAAGUCGGGCGUGGUCAGUACCUCGAUGGGUGACCGCUUGGGAAUACCAGGUGCUGUAGG
This 99-nucleotide ribosomal RNA is filed under the name Acanthosepion pharaonis. Lineage: Eukaryota; Metazoa; Mollusca; Cephalopoda; Sepiida; Sepiidae. The record is from RNAcentral.